Non-coding RNA from Acanthosepion pharaonis, 106 nucleotides. NCBI's taxonomy places the organism in Eukaryota, Metazoa, Mollusca, Cephalopoda, Sepiida, Sepiidae. The record is from the annotation of a GenBank genome assembly.
UUACGGACAUAUCACGUUGCAACACCGGUUCUUGUGCGAUCACCGAAGUAAAGCAACAUCGAUCUUGGUCAGUACCGAGAUGAGUAACCAUUUGGGAGUACCAGGU